CAAAUAUCAUUUGUAAGAACUGGUUUCUUUAUUUUAAAAGAAACAAUUAAUUGGUACAGCUCCAUUUCCAUUUGGCCUUCCUUUUCCUCAAAAAGCUUUAUUAUAAUGCCAUAUCCUUAUUGAAUUUGGAACAAAACCAUGAAUCUUACUACAUAUUUCACACAGUCUGCUGCUUAGAAGUCUGGCCACCAAUAACGGCAUCAUCGGGGAUGUACUUGCCCCAAAACCAAUGUGCUUUCCAGACCCUAUUCAUCUCUUCAAUGGGUACGUUUCUUGUCUCAGGCAAGAAGAAGAAUAUGAAGAUGGUCAUAACGAUAACCCAGCCAGCGAAAAAUAAGAAGAGCCCGAACUUCAUGUGGCAAAGCAUGGUUAAAAAGAAUUGGCCAAUGACAAAGGUGAAGAACAUGUUAACAGAGACAUUGAUAGCUUGGCCGGCUGAUCGGAUUUCCAGAGGACAGAUCUCACUAGGCACCAACCACCCCAAUGGACCCCAAGACCAUGCGAAAGCUGCUACAUAUACACAAAUCAAGAACAGCACAAAAUUUGCUGACCCACCUGACAAUUUCCCUACACCAGAAGUCCCAAAGCUCAUGCUGAUCAUGAUUCCAACAAGAACCUGGCAAAUAAUCAUUUGGACGCCACCUUCGAGGAACAAAACCCGUCUUCCAAACUUAUCAGCAGAGUAUAUGGAAACAAUUGUGGCCAACACAUUAACUAUGCCAGUAAUAACAGCAGACAUAAGCGAAGCAUCAUCGCCAAACCCCAAAGUCUUAAAUAGAACAGGCGCAUAAAACAUGAUGACAUUAAUUCCAGUGAGUUGCUGGAAGAAUGGAAUUAAGCUGCAAAUGACAAGUUGAGGCCUGUAUUGUGGCUUCAUAAUAUUCAGCCAUGGGUGUUCUACUCUCUUCGCAGCUUCAGUUGCAUCAACGAGAUCUUGGAACUCCUCAUCAACAUUGUUUGUGCCACGAAUCUUUUUCAACAUUUCUCUGGCCUUCUCCGGAUGGCCCCUCUCGAGAAUGGAAUUGGGAGUGUCUGGUAGGAAGACAGAUCCAACACUUAUCAUUAUUGCAGGUACUGCUGCAAGAGCUAAGGAAACUCUCCAUCCCCAACCACCUUCAAUCUUUGCUGUACCGUAGUUGAUGAGAUUUGCAGCUAAAAUACCGAUCGUGAUAGCCAUUUGGAAACCAAUGUUAAGUGCUCCUCUAAUCUUCGCGGGUGCCAUUUCAGAUAAAUAGACUGGAACAGACUGAUUAGCAAAUCCAACACCCACACCAAGCAACAAACGGCCAAUAAUAAGCAUCGCGACGUUCAUGGCAGCACCAUUGAGGAUAGCACCAAUGAGGAAAACAAAGCCUCCAAACAACAUGGAAAUCUUGCGACCAAAAGCCCUAGUUACUGUAGAAGCAAGGAAGGAAGCUACCAACGCUGCAAGGUACAGUGAAGAUGUGAACAAUUGGAGCAGAUGGCUUUCAAAUUUGCAGUACAUAUUCUCACGGUGUUUCUCUGUUUCUUUUCGGUACACAGUUGGGAAGAACUUCUUUAAAAACGAGUCCAUAGAAGUCACCCCACCUGAGAUACCAAUAUCAUAUCCGAAAAUGAGACCACCAAAAGCUGCAACAAAACAAGUCAUGAUAACGAAGGUUGUGACACCACCUUCAUAGUUCCUCGCUGGACCCUGAACAGCAAAACCACCUCCUGCCAUCUUUCAGAAAACUGGGAAAGGCUGUUUGUCUAUUACCCUAGCUAAACUAACAAAAGAUUUUAUAAAGGAGUAAAAGGUAUUCUUUCCGUUCCAAGUGAAUCAAAGGAUUUUUUACUGCAAUUUUCUUUGUCAAAUCCUUUAAAACCACAGGGAAAAUAAAGAGAAAGAGGAUUCCACCAAAUUCUUCAUACCCAAGAGAAAGAUAACUCCUUUGGGAAUCUUUUGUGUUUUGACGUUUCCGUCCGAUGGAUUUCUAUGCCGAAAGGAUGCAAG
Molecule: unclassified non-coding RNA, 1975 nt
Filed under: Hevea brasiliensis (rubber tree)
Lineage: Eukaryota; Viridiplantae; Streptophyta; Magnoliopsida; Malpighiales; Euphorbiaceae
Source: RNAcentral